This 435-nucleotide ribosomal RNA is filed under the name uncultured bacterium. RNAcentral's name for it is "bacterial SSU rRNA". It matches the Rfam family "Bacterial small subunit ribosomal RNA", at positions 43 to 524 of the family's 1533-position model. The record is from RNAcentral.
CAGGCCUAACACAUGCAAGUCGAACGCAUCCUUCGGGGUGAGUGGCAGACGGGUGAGUAACGCGUGGGAAUCUACCUCUUGCUACGGGAUAGCUCCGGGAAACUGGAAUUAAUACCGUAUGUGCCCUUCGGGGGAAAGAUUUAUCGGCAAGGGAUGAGCCCGCGUUGGAUUAGCUAGUUGGUGGGGUAAAGGCCUACCAAGGCGACGAUCCAUAGCUGGUCUGAGAGGAUGAUCAGCCACAUUGGGACUGAGACACGGCCCAAACUCCUACGGGAGGCAGCAGUGGGGAAUAUUGGACAAUGGGCGCAAGCCUGAUCCAGCCAUGCCGCGUGAGUGAUGAAGGUCUUAGGAUUGUAAAGCUCUUUCACCGGGGACGAUAAUGACGGUACCCGGAGAAGAAGCCCCGGCUAACUUCGUGCCAGCAGCCGCGGUAAU